Molecule: long non-coding RNA, 2041 nt
Filed under: Homo sapiens (human)
Lineage: Eukaryota; Metazoa; Chordata; Mammalia; Primates; Hominidae
Description: HSALNT0208057
Source: RNAcentral
AAAGCUACUAAUUGGCUUACAGAAACUGACUAAAAUAGGAGGUCUUUUCCUUGGAAGGAAAAGAUGUAAUAAUCUCAGUUUUGGAUAAAAUUGGGUAGAACAGAUUUCCCUACGGUGGUUAAAGGGAUAAAAACACAAGAUAUCCCCAGCAUCUACAUUACAGACUUCAAUGAAGGAAGUAAAAAUAUCUCAAUAGUUGAGUUGAGGAAGUGGGUCAAGGAUAUGAAUAUCCACAGAUGCUGACAAGGGAAAUAUAUGUUAUAUUCAUAAAAUUCAAGUAAUUAAGAUAGGUAAGUAUACAUGUCCACUUAGGUUAGAUGUUAAUUCUUAAUAAGUAACAUAAUGAUCUGAGGCUCUUUGUGUGCCACUUCUACAUCUCAAACUUUGACGUGGAUCCCCUGGAGAUCUUGUUAAAGUACAGAUUAUGAUUCAGUAGGGUCUGAAAUUCUGCAUUUCUAAUAAGCUCCAAGGUCAUAUUGAAGCCGCUAUUCUGCUGAGCAAGGUUUCCACUAUCUGAGAGGCAGUAUUCCACAGGACCUAAGUGGGUCCACUCUUUAGCCACACUGCCUAGAUUAGAAGACUGGCUCUGCCCGCUUACUAACUAUAUGACUAUGGGAAGAUUAAUGAACUUCUCUGUGUCUCAGUUUCUUCAUUUGAAAAAUGAGAAUAAUGUUAACUUCCUCCAGUGAUGUUGUGAAGAAUAAAUGUGUUGAUUUAUAUGAAGUGUUUAGAAAAGUCAACAACAUUGUUAAUUGUACAUAUUGUUUGUCAAGCUUGCCAUAUCAAAAAUAUCUAUGUGUUUUUGACUACUAAAUACCUAUGUGUUUUUGAUUGGUAUUUAAUUGGCUACUUGUGUACUAGUUGUUUAAAAAGGGACAAGGUGACUAAUUAUUGAGUUUUAUGUAGUUGUUACACUUCUUCACAUAACGCUUGUCACAGAACAAUAUAGUCAUAUAUUCUGGGCAUUUUUCACUCAGGAUGAGUGUGGCUGAUGAGGCUGAUGUAUUCUUGGAUUUUUCUAGGUGAUGAUUCAUCUGGGCUGGGCCUUUCAUUAGGGCCUGUUGAGAAAGAAUUGAAGUAGUAAAGCUGAGCUUCAGGGAAUCCUCUAAAUAGAUUGGUUGAAACACAGUCUGGUUUAUAUACAUAAUCUCAAUGAAGCCUCAACACAUCCUUGUGGCAUAAGUAAUAUAAGCCCCAUUCAACUUAUUAGAAAACUAUUACAGGCGUGGGUUAAGUAAAUUGUUUGAUGUGACCUAGCCAGUAAAUGGCAAUGAUGGAGUAUUAAUAUAAGUAUGUCUGAAUCCAGUAUCAAGUCAUUUAGGCAGAAUUCAUCACUUCUCUACGAAAAGUGUUAAGUGUUAAAAAUAUUUCUGAAAGUUUUCUCUUGUAUCCAAACAUUUUUAUAUUCAGUAUUCUAUUUGUCCUGGUGAUCCUGAGCUCCCUUGAGGACAUUGGUGGCACUAAGGGGAGGCUUACACAGAACUGGUGCCUUGAACUCAGUUUCCCCUCACCACCCUUAUCACACUGGAGGCUACCCAGGGUGGACUCAGAGUGGAAGGAGAAUUGUCCAUGUGGACCACAGGCUCUCACCGUGGAAUGAUUCUGGAGGACUUGAUAGUGUGGCUAGAGGUUCUAUUUUAAGCUCUGAGAAAUGUGGAAAAUCUCCUGGGGAGGUCAACAGUUGACCCUGGCCCUUUCCUCUCUGGUGCAACCUCCAAAGGGCUAUUCUAUUUCUCUCGCUUGUCACUGAGCUCUACUUCAUGUGUAAAGGCAGGUUGGAUAGUUUCCAAAUCUUUGUUGGGAUGCCCCUCUAAACCUUGGAUAAAGUCUUUCCCUGUGGCCCCAUUGUUAGCAGUUAUUACAUGUCCAAUGUUUGCCUGUAAUGCUGCUACAGGUCUUUUUUGACACAUUAGUUUUGAAAAUUGUUUUUGACAGCAGCUCUUUUGGACACUAAGGACCUGGAAGGCAGAGACCUUAUCUUGUCUCAUUUAUAUCCCCCAAAUCUAGUACAUGGCCUGAAACUGUGUUUAUUAAAUGAAGA